This is a non-coding RNA of Myotis davidii, 300 nucleotides long. The record is from Rfam. Lineage: Eukaryota; Metazoa; Chordata; Mammalia; Chiroptera; Vespertilionidae.
GCCGGGCGCGGUGGCGCGCGCCUGUAGUCCCAGCUACUCGGGAGGCUGAGGCUGGAGGAUCGCUUGAGCCCAGGAGUUCUGGGCUGUAGUGCGCUAUGCCGAUCGGGUGUCCGCACUAAGUUCGGCAUCAAUAUGGUGACCUCCCGGGAGCGGGGGGCCACCAGGUUGCCUAAGGAGGGGUGAACCGGCCCAGGUCGGAGACGGAGCAGGUCAAAGCUCCCGUGCUGAUCAGUAGUGGGAUCGCGCCUGUGAAUAGCCACUGCACUCCAGCCUGGGCAACAUAGCGAGACCCCGUCUCUU